Molecule: ribosomal RNA, 253 nt
Filed under: uncultured bacterium
Lineage: Bacteria
Description: partial 16S ribosomal RNA
Rfam family: Bacterial small subunit ribosomal RNA
Source: RNAcentral
GACAGAGGAUGCAAGCGUUAUCCGGAAUGAUUGGGCGUAAAGCGUCUGUAGGUGGUUUAAAAAGUCUACUGUUAAAAAUUGAAGCUUAACUUCAAAGAUGCCGUAGAAACUUUUAAACUUGGGGAUGGUAGGGGUAGAGGGAAUUUCCAGUGGAGCGGUGAAAUGCGUAGAUCUUGGAAAGACCACCAAUGGCGAAGGCACUCUACUGGGCCAUGACUGACACUAAGAGACGAAAGCUAGGGGAGCAAAUGGG